GCGGGCAGACGCCCGCGCCUUAAUGCAGCCGCCCGGAUGGGCGCGGGUCUCAAGCCCCGGCAAAUGCAGAGAGAGGA
Molecule: non-coding RNA, 77 nt
Filed under: unclassified sequences
Source: RNAcentral